AGGAGCACAACCGGGCGAGAAGGGAGCGGACGUCGGAGUCAAAAGGUUGGUGUCUGAAGCUGGUGAAUACUUAUUGAACGACAGACACACGGGAGUGCAAAGGUGGCUUAAGGAUAUCCUUGAUUUGGAAAUUUGAUCUUCAGAAACAUGGAUGGCUUGAAUUUUCUAAGAGGUGUGUGGAGACACUGCAUUGAUGAAUGCACAUUUGUAAAAAAGAAUGAAUAAAUGUUUAAUAUGCCGCUUUGA
Non-coding RNA from Cricetulus griseus (Chinese hamster), 246 nucleotides. The record is from RefSeq and is a predicted model, not a curated record. NCBI's taxonomy places the organism in Eukaryota, Metazoa, Chordata, Mammalia, Rodentia, Cricetidae.